AGAAGCACAAGCAUUUCACAACACUCACUUUAACAUCUGCUAACAGUGUGUUUGUGACCAAUAAAAUUAGAUUUGAUUUGACACUAUUGAGUUGACUGAGGUUAUACGGCACAGAACCCUCUGACACUAUUGAGUUGACUGAGGUUAUACGGCACAGAGCCCUCUGACACUAUUGAGUUGACUGAGGUUAUACGGCACAGAGGCCUCUGACACUAUUGAGUUGACUGAGGUUAUACGGCACAGAACCCUCUGACACUAUUGAGUUGACUGAGGUUAUACGGCACAGAGCCCUCUGACACUAUUGAGUUGACUGAGGUUAUACGGCACAGAACCCUCUGACACUAUUGAGUUGACUGAGGUUUUACGGCACAGAGGCCCCUGACACUAUUGAGUUGACUGAGACUGUAUAGGCUACUACUCAGGGUUUGAGGCUGAUAAUAAACAGAGGUCACAGAAAGAGCAUAGACAGAGGAUUUACACACCGAACGAUCAUAGUCACCUACACACGCAUUUACAAACACCAUGGGGAUGUUAUGGGAACAACCAGGGAUGAAAAAGGGCCCCAAAAAAUAUAUUCUGUCCAAUGAUCUGUCCUCUGAUGGAAUGAUAUCUCCAUUCCUGUGUAAUUUGCAGGGGAAAACAGGCCGGUCUGGAUCUGACGGUACUCCAAGUCCUAAAGGAUUUCGUGUAAAUUCUUUGUUUUGUCCUAAAUGAAUCUGUAGUGACAGAAGCAGUGUUUUUACAUACGUUGAUGUUUGUUGGAAUGUUUUUACAUAGGUUGAUGGAUGUACGGAUGCAUUAACCGUCUGGUCUCUGGUGUCACUGUAGGGGGAACCUGGCAUCAAUGGAAGGCCUGGGAUGGAGGGUAUCGAGGGUGACCUAGUGGAGUGACGGAACCUCCUGGGGAUACUGGCAUCAGGUUUCCUACACCUAAGGCCAGUUGAAAUCUGUUGUUAGAGAACACCUAGGGUGAUAAAGGAAACCAGGGAAGACCUGGACCCACCAGUCCCCAUGGGUAUGAGUGAACCAGGACUGCCGGGAGACCAUGGUCCACCUGGGUCUUUCAGCCCUCGUCGGCCACCAGGUCUGGGAAUAGUCGGCCCGAAGGGUGACCAGGGCUUCCCAGGGCAGCACGGACCACAGGGAGAGAGAGGAGUUGUGGAGCCAGGGCCGAAGGGUGAACCAGGACAUGACGGAUCCUCUGGGAUACCUGGUAUACUUGGGGAAGAUGGAGCGGUCCAACCUAAGGUAAGCAAGGUGUUGAAGUUCAUUUAGAGGUCAAAGUUCAUUGGGCACCAUUGUACAUCUACUACACAGUAUAAAGAGCACAGACAUUUGAAAUAGUUAUUACAUCACUUUUUAACUUGUUUAUUGUCUUCAUUUUCUUUGUCUUGAAACAUGGUGAGAUUGGUUUGCCAGGACUGCGAGGGAUAGAGGGUGCGCCUGGGAAAGGAAUUCCUGGAGAAAAGGUUUUCUCCAGGCUUUCUCAUGUGAAGGCUAUGGAUUUCUGCCUGCAUGGGUGACUGCUACCUCUCAUUGUUGUCCCCUAACCAAGUUUUGUAAUGAUGGGUCUACCAGGUCCUCCUGGCAGGGGUCUACCUGGGUCAAAGUGGUGGGGUGCAGACAGCCGUUGGACCCUGGGCCAUGUCGUCAGUAUGUGGUCGGGUGGUACUACGACCCGGAAGUCAACGCCUGUGCCCAGUUCUGGUACGGAGGUUGCCAGGGCAACGGAAAUCAGUUUGAGUCGGAAGCUGUGUGCAGGAGCACCUGCGACUGCACGUAACAGACAGUGGUGCUUUGUUUAAAGAGAGAAGGGCCGUGUGCAAAGCCUGCACCUUUCCCAGUGUUGAUGUCAGAGGGAUGCACUGAAGACAUGGGCUCCUAUCUAUCUAUGGCUGCAUCCCAAUUCUCCCAAGGAUGUGGAGUAUGUAAGUGCAUACUUUGGGAUAAGGGUGGAGAAUCGGGACACAUACUCUAUAUCAGUUACAGUUUGACCAAAGCUCAGGCGAACGACAGCACUGCUACACUGAUGCUCCAGAGAGGACCUGUAUACUCUAUUUCUCUAUUGUGUUCUUUAUGUAGUCUGUGAACCACCCCCUGUACUGUACAAAUAUUCAACCAGUUCAUAUUUUUUAUAUUUUCACACCCUUGUUUUUA
This is a non-coding RNA of Salmo salar (Atlantic salmon), 2157 nucleotides long. NCBI's taxonomy places the organism in Eukaryota, Metazoa, Chordata, Actinopteri, Salmoniformes, Salmonidae. The record is from RefSeq and is a predicted model, not a curated record.